Long non-coding RNA from Saccostrea cuccullata (small rock oyster), 831 nucleotides. RefSeq lists it as uncharacterized. The transcript has 3 exons. Lineage: Eukaryota; Metazoa; Mollusca; Bivalvia; Ostreida; Ostreidae. The record is from RefSeq and is a predicted model, not a curated record.
UAAUGUAUUAGAUUUUGAGAACAAAGUGUCUUCUUAAACAUGACUGCAUUCUUUUCAUUCACUUGUAAUACCCAUAAAUCAACGUUUCAUACAUACUUAACGAUUUUUUGGACAAGGAGAAGUUCUUUAUAUAUCUUUAGUAAGAUACACCUUUAUAAAUAUUUCUUUGGUGAAGGUAUAGGUAUCAACCGCAAAUGGCGCUAUUCAUAUACUAUUCUUUGUCAAGUAAAAAGACAAAUUGAAGACUUGAACAGUCGGAGCCUUUUGAAGCAUUUUUGGAAAAUAGAAAUGGCCAUAAUGGGUUUAGAAACAAACAACAAGGAAAAUGAAGAGCCUGGAGACCAUACCAAAGAAAAGAAAGAAACAGACAUGAAGAGGGACACUUCGGAUGGGCAGAGAAAGGAUGCAAUUGAUCGAGUGGAUGAAGCUCCAGAAGCUUCCAUUAGUGGCGUGAUAUUAAAAGUCACAGAUCUGGUCCGCGGAGAAGACGAAGCAAUAUGGUCGGUCGAGCAGAAAAUCUAGAAGCUGCGACUGCUCGACAGUUUAGUACAGUGAAUCAGGAGACACAACCAAGGGGAAACUGUACAAAUAGACUCAACAGAAGAACAUUUAUAAUUGUCAUUGCCAUAGUUUCUGUUUUACUAUUAAUUGUAAUUGUAGUCAUUGUACUGUUCACUUUGAAAGUUAUUUAAGGAACAAACUUUAGAGCUACCCACCUUAAACUCUAUAAUCUGGUUUGUACUUUAUUGAUUGCAUAGCGACUCAUAAAAAUAAAAUUUUCUCGGCAUGGGAACUUUAGAAAUUACUCUUAUUAUAUGAAUAACCCGCUUG